This 107-nucleotide small RNA is filed under the name Marmota monax (woodchuck). Lineage: Eukaryota; Metazoa; Chordata; Mammalia; Rodentia; Sciuridae. The record is from RNAcentral.
GCUGGGUAUGGUGGUACCCACCUGUAAUUUCAGUAACUUGAGAAGCUGAGGCAGGAGGGUUGCAAGUUUGAGGCCAGCCUGGGCAAAAUAGUGAGAUCCUGUCUCAA